Molecule: long non-coding RNA, 209 nt
Filed under: Elaeis guineensis (African oil palm)
Lineage: Eukaryota; Viridiplantae; Streptophyta; Magnoliopsida; Arecales; Arecaceae
Description: long non-coding RNA (EGUI_LNC037387)
Source: RNAcentral
AAGUUGCUUUGAUAUCCGUACUGUAUAUCAACUUCAUUUGGCCAUAUCAAGUAUUUUUCAAACCCAUUAUUAAAGAACCCUAUUGAUUGAUCUUGACCUUAAUUCGAUCUGUGCUUCACGAUUUCUUGAUCAAGUUACUUAAAUCUGACCCUCAGAUCAGAGACCCUGAAUUGCCCCGGUAUCUGGAUGGACCGACACAUCCGGACAAC